Paralichthys olivaceus (Japanese flounder) is the source of this 130-nucleotide non-coding RNA. NCBI's taxonomy places the organism in Eukaryota, Metazoa, Chordata, Actinopteri, Pleuronectiformes, Paralichthyidae. The record is from RefSeq and is a predicted model, not a curated record.
UUUUAGCUAACAUUACUGCUGAAACUGGAUGAUAAACUGAACAGACAUCUAAGCUGUGACAUGUUACCCAAUGAAUCUGGUCAAGAGCUGGCUGAAGAGUUGGUGCAACUGUGCUUUAUCAGUGAGGUGG